CCUACGGGAGGCAGCAGUGAGGAAUAUUGGUCAAUGGACGAGAGUCUGAACCAGCCAAGUAGCGUGAAGGAUGACUGCCCUAUGGGUUGUAAACUUCUUUUAUAUGGGAAUAAAAUGUUCCACGUGUGGGAUUUUGUAUGUACCAUAUGAAUAAGGAUCGGCUAACUCCGUGCCAGCAGCCGAGGUAAUACGGAGGAUACGAGCGUUAUCCGGAUUUAUGGGGUUUAAAGGGAGCGUAGGUGGAUUGUUAAGUCAGGUGUGAAAGUUUGCGGCUCAACCUGAAAAUUGCAUUUGAAACUGGCAGUGUUGAGUACAGUAGAGGUGGGCGGAAUUCGUGGUGUAGCGGUGAAAUGCUUAGAUAUCACGAAGAACUCCGAUUGCGAAGGCAGUUCACUGGACUGCAACUGACACUGAGGCUCGAAAGUGUGGGUAUCAAACAGGAUUAGAUACCCGUGUAGUC
This 460-nucleotide ribosomal RNA is filed under the name uncultured bacterium. Its description in RNAcentral is "partial 16S ribosomal RNA". It matches the Rfam family "Bacterial small subunit ribosomal RNA", at positions 338 to 795 of the family's 1533-position model. The record is from RNAcentral.